GUGGAUUAGAUACCCUGGUAGUCCACACCGUAAACGUUGGGCGCUAGGUGUGGGGCCUAUUCCAUGGGUUCCGUGCCGCAGCUAACGCAUUAAGCGCCCCGCCUGGGGAGUACGGCCGCAAGGCUAAAACUCAAAGGAAUUGACGGGGGCCCGCACAAGCGGCGGAGCAUGCGGAUUAAUUCGAUGCAACGCGAAGAACCUUACCUGGGUUUGACAUACACCGGAAACACCUAGAGAUAGGUGCCCUUUUAGUCGGUGUACAGGUGGUGCACGGUCGUCGACAGCU
This 286-nucleotide ribosomal RNA is filed under the name uncultured bacterium. RNAcentral describes it as "partial 16S ribosomal RNA". It matches the Rfam family "Bacterial small subunit ribosomal RNA", at positions 773 to 1060 of the family's 1533-position model. The record is from RNAcentral.